UACGGAGGGUGCAAGCGUUAUCCGGAUUCACUGGGUUUAAAGGGUGCGUAGGUGGGCAGGUAAGUCAGUGGUGAAAUCUCCGAGCUUAACUUGGAAACUGCCGUUGAUACUAUCUGCCUUGAAUAUUGUGGAGGUGAGCGGAAUAUGUCAUGUAGCGGUGAAAUGCUUAGAUAUGACAUAGAACACCAAUUGCGAAGGCAGCUCGCUACGCAUAUAUUGACACUGAGGCACGAAAGCGUGGGGAUCAAACAGG
RNAcentral lists this ribosomal RNA (253 nucleotides) under uncultured bacterium. RNAcentral describes it as "partial 16S ribosomal RNA". It matches the Rfam family "Bacterial small subunit ribosomal RNA", at positions 524 to 776 of the family's 1533-position model. The record is from RNAcentral.